This 253-nucleotide ribosomal RNA is filed under the name uncultured bacterium. RNAcentral describes it as "partial 16S ribosomal RNA". It matches the Rfam family "Bacterial small subunit ribosomal RNA", at positions 524 to 776 of the family's 1533-position model. The record is from RNAcentral.
UACAGAGGUCUCAAGCGUUGUUCGGAUUCAUUGGGCGUAAAGGGUGCGUAGGUGGCGUCGUAAGUCGGGUGUGAAAUCUCGGGGCUUAACUCCGAAACUGCAUUCGAUACUGCGGUGCUUGAGGACUGGAGAGGAGACUGGAAUUUACGGUGUAGCAGUGAAAUGCGUAGAGAUCGUAAGGAAGACCAGUGGCGAAGGCGGGUCUCUGGAAAGUUCCUGACACUGAGGCACGAAGGCCAGGGGAGCAAACGGG